AAUCAAGCGCGAAAAGGGCGUUUGGUGGAUGCCUUGGCAGUAAGAGGCGAUGAAGGACGUGAUACUCUGCGAUAAGCCAUGGGGAGCUGAGAAUAAGCUUUGAUCCAUGGAUUUCCGAAUGGGGCAACCCACCUGACAGUUUGUUAUAAUAGCCUUCGGGCUGCUUAUAAUGGGCUGAAACAGGUACUUAUUACCUGAAUACAUAGGGUUUUAAGAGCAAACCCGGGGAACUGAAACAUCUAAGUACCCGGAGGAAAGGACAUCAAUAGAGACUCCCCUAGUAGCGGCGAGCGAACGGGGACCAGCCGAGUCCUGAGAGUGACCAGAACGACCUGGAAAGGUCGGCCAUAGCGGGUGACAGCCCCGUAUGGGAAGCUCAAUGGAACGUAUUAAGUAGGGCGGGACACGUGAAAUCCUGUUCGAAGAUCGGAGGACCACCUCCGAAGGCUAAGUACUCCUUACUGACCGAUAGCGAACCAGUACCGUGAGGGAAAGGUGAAAAGCACCCCGACGAGGGGAGUGAAACAGUACCUGAAACCGAACGCCUACAAUCAGUCGGAGCUUGACUGGACUCUAAUAACAAUCUGGGCCAUGAGAUUGUCCUGUAGAAACGGCUGGAAGAGAGCAGAAGUACUGUUCUCCGGCAGCGAAGCGAUAGGACGAGAAACAUGGCUGACGGAACUUUUGCAGUGCUUAUGCUGAUAGCCGGACUGACGGAUAUGGGCAUGAAUCAUUGCGGCACGGAGGCAGGAUGCCUUGGCAAGUCGGAAACGACCCCAAGGCUGGCAAUCUCCGCAGGCCAGGUUCUGGAGCGGCGCGCCAAAAGCGCCUCUGAAGUCUAUCUGCGUUACGAUCUGGGCCGCAAACGUGGGCCAUUUGGAAAUGCGGUUGGACUUUCGGUGGGUGAGCAUGGCGAAACCUGGGUGGGCUUUGGCUCAACCUAUACCUACCAAUUCGGACGCAGCCCGCUCUAUGCGGAACUGCAUGCAAUGCCGGGUCUUUACGCCGAUAAUGGCGGAUUUGACCUUGGCGGACCGGUCGAAUUUAGAUCGGGAAUUGAGUUGGGUUACGAAGGCCGGGAAGGCUGGCGCUAUAGCGUCAGUUACGAUCACCGGUCCAACGCAGGGAUCUAUGACAUCAAUCCGGGAAUUGAGACCGUUCAAUUCCGGGUGAGUGUCCCGCUUAAGUAGAAGAUUAUUAUUAGUGUCCAGUCUUGUGACGGCGUACCUUUUGUAUAAUGGGUCAUCGACUUGGUCUAUCUAGCAAGCUUAAGCCGUUAGGUGUAGGCGCAGCGAAAGCGAGUCUUAAUAGGGCGUUGAGUUAGAUGGAUCAGACCCGAAACCGAGUGAUCUAGGCAUGACCAGGAUGAAGGUAAGGUAACACUUACUGGAGGUCCGAACCCACACCUGUUGAAAAAGGUCGGGAUGAGUUGUGCCUAGGGGUGAAAGGCCAAUCAAACUCGGAGAUAGCUGGUUCUCUGCGAAAUCUAUUUAGGUAGAGCGUCAUCCGAAUACCCCGGGGGGUAGAGCACUGGAUGGGUAAUGGGGCCCCACAGGCUUACUGAUCCUAACCAAACUCCGAAUACCCGGGAGUACUAGAUGGCAGACACACAGCGGAUGCUAACGUCCGUUGUGAAGAGGGAAACAACCCUGACCUACAGCUAAGGCCCCUAAUUCAUGGCUAAGUGGGAAAGCAGGUGGGACGACCAAAACAACCAGGAGGUUGGCUUAGAAGCAGCCAUCCUUUAAAGAUAGCGUAACAGCUCACUGGUCUAAAUAAGUUGUCCUGCGGCGAAGAUGUAACGGGGCUCAAGCCAUGAGCCGAAGCUUAGGAUGCCGUAAGGCAUGGUAGCAGAGCGUAGUGUGACAUAGUUCCAUGUCUCUUUUGCCUCUUUCGGGAGGUAUUGGAGACGCGGAGCUUUCUGUGAAGCUGGCGCGUGAGCGAUCCGGUGGAGAGAUCACUAGUGAGAAUGAUGACAUGAGUAGCGACAAAGAGUGUGAGAGACACUCUCGCCGAAAGUCCAAGGGUUCCUGCUUAAAGCUAAUCUGAGCAGGGUAAGCCGACCCCUAAGGCGAGGCCGAAAGGCGUAGUCGAUGGGAACCAGGUUAAUAUUCCUGGGCCAGAUGGAAGUGACGGAUCUCGAAGAUUGUUCCUCCUUAUCGGAUUGGAGGGGCCGUUGAGAGGUUCCUGGAAAUAGCUCCAUCGCUAGAUCGUACCCUAAACCGACACAGGUGGACUGGUAGAGAAUACCAAGGCGCUUGAGAGAACUAUGUUGAAGGAACUCGGCAAAAUACCUCCGUAAGUUCGCGAGAAGGAGGCCCGGUUUCUAGGCAACUAGAGGCUGGGGGCACAAACCAGGGGGUGGCGACUGUUUACUAAAAACACAGGGCUCUGCGAAGUCGUAAGACGACGUAUAGGGUCUGACGCCUGCCCGGUGCCUGAAGGUUAAAAGGAGGGGUGAGAGCUCUGAAUUGAAGCCCAGGUAAACGGCGGCCGUAACUAUAACGGUCCUAAGGUAGCGAAAUUCCUUGUCGGGUAAGUUCCGACCUGCACGAAUGGCGUAACGACUUCCCCGCUGUCUCCAACAUAGACUCAGCGAAAUUGAAUUGCCUGUCAAGAUGCAGGCUUCCCGCGGUUAGACGGAAAGACCCCGUGCACCUUUACUACAACUUCACACUGGCAUUAGGCCGAACAUGUGCAGGAUAGGUGGUAGGCUUUGAAGCGUGAACGCCAGUUUGCGUGGAGCUUCCCUUGAGAUACCACCCUUGUUCUGCUUGAUGUCUAACCGCGGUCCGUUAUCCGGAUCCGGGACCCUGUGUGGUGGGUAGUUUGACUGGGGCGGUCGCCUCCUAAAGCGUAACGGAGGCGCGCGAAGGUUGGCUCAGAGCGGUCGGAAAUCGCUCGUUGAGUGCAAUGGCAGAAGCCAGCCUGACUGCAAGACUGACAAGUCGAGCAGAGACGAAAGUCGGCCAUAGUGAUCCGGUGGUCCCAAGUGGGAGGGCCAUCGCUCAACGGAUAAAAGGUACGCCGGGGAUAACAGGCUGAUACUGCCCAAGAGUCCAUAUCGACGGCAGUGUUUGGCACCUCGAUGUCGGCUCAUCUCAUCCUGGGGCUGGAGCAGGUCCCAAGGGUACGGCUGUUCGCCGUUUAAAGAGGUACGUGAGCUGGGUUUAGAACGUCGUGAGACAGUUCGGUCCCUAUCUGCCGUGGGUGUAGGAUACUUGAGAGGAGUUGCCCCUAGUACGAGAGGACCGGGGUGAACGAACCACUGGUGGACCAGUUGUCGUGCCAACGGCAGUGCUGGGUAGCUAAGUUCGGACAGGAUAACCGCUGAAGGCAUCUAAGCGGGAAGCCCCCCUCAAAACAAGGUAUCCCUGAGGGCCGUGGUAGACCACCACGUCGAUAGGCCGGAGAUGUAAGCGCGGUAACGCGUUCAGUUGACCGGUACUAAUGGCCCGAUAGGCUUGAUUUG
Molecule: ribosomal RNA, 3472 nt
Organism: Puniceibacterium sp. IMCC21224
Lineage: Bacteria; Pseudomonadati; Pseudomonadota; Alphaproteobacteria; Rhodobacterales; Paracoccaceae
Rfam family: Bacterial large subunit ribosomal RNA
Source: Rfam